Molecule: ribosomal RNA, 253 nt
Filed under: uncultured bacterium
Lineage: Bacteria
Description: partial 16S ribosomal RNA
Rfam family: Bacterial small subunit ribosomal RNA
Source: RNAcentral
UACGUAGGGUGCGAGCGUUAAUCGGAAUUAUUGGGCGUAAAGCGUGCGCAGGCGGUUUUAUAAGACAGAUGUGAAAUCCCCGGGCUUAACCUGGGAACUGCGUUUGUGACUGUAAGACUGGAGUGUGGCAGAGGGGGGUGGAAUUCCACGUGUAGCAGUGAAAUGCGUAGAUAUGUGGAGGAACAUCGAUGGCGAAGGCAGCCCCCUGGGUUAACACUGACGUUCAUGCACGAAAGCGUGGGGAGCAAACAGG